UCGAGCGGAACAAAGACACGGAAUUUUUCGGAAGGAAGUGUGUUAGCUUUAGCGGCGGACGGGUGAGUAACGCGUGGAUAACCUGCCUCAUACAGGGGGAUAACAGUUAGAAAUGACUGCUAAUACCGCAUAAGCACACGGGAGCGCAUGCUUCCGGGUGAAAAGCUCCGGCGGUAUGAGAUGGAUCCGCGUCUGAUUAGCUGGUUGGCGGGGUAACGGCCCACCAAGGCGACGAUCAGUAGCCGACCUGAGAGGGUGGCCGGCCACAUUGGGACUGAGACACGGCCCAAACUCCUACGGGAGGCAGCAGUGGGGAAUAUUGCACAAUGGGGGAAACCCUGAUGCAGCAACGCCGCGUGGGUGAAGAAGUAUUUCGGUAUGUAAAGCCCUAACAGCAGGGAAGAGAAUGACGGUACCUGACUAAGAAGCCCCGGCUAACUACGUGCCAGCAGCCGCGGUAAUACGUAGGGGGCAAGCGUUAUCCGGAUUUACUGGGUGUAAAGGGAGCGUAGACGGUUGUGCAAGUCUGAAGUGAAAGCCCGCGGCUCAACUGCGGAACGGCUUUGGAAACUGUGUAACUGGAGUGCUGGAGAGGUAAGCGGAAUUCCUGGUGUAGCGGUGAAAUGCGUAGAGAUCAGGAGGAACACCGGCGGCGAAGGCGGCUUACUGGACAGUAACUGACGUUGAGGCUCGAGAGCGUGGGGAGCAAACAGGAUUAGAUACCCUGGUAGUCCACGCGGUAAACGAUGAGUGCUAGGUGUUGGUGGGCAGAGCCCAUCGGUGCCGUCGCAAACGCAGUAAGCAUUCCACCUGGGGAGUACGUUCGCAAGAAUGAAACUCAAAGGAAUUGACGGGGAC
RNAcentral lists this ribosomal RNA (858 nucleotides) under uncultured bacterium. Its description in RNAcentral is "bacterial SSU rRNA". It matches the Rfam family "Bacterial small subunit ribosomal RNA", at positions 62 to 920 of the family's 1533-position model. The record is from RNAcentral.